AAUCCAUGCGUCGAACAUUUCAAAAUUAAAUCUUUGAAUCGUUCCCAAGCUUCAUAUAGUGUUUCAUCCUCUAAUUGUCAAAAAUAUGUGAUGUCAUUUCUAAGAUU
Gossypium raimondii (Peruvian cotton) is the source of this 107-nucleotide small nucleolar RNA. It matches the Rfam family "Plant small nucleolar RNA R71". Rfam says of the family: R71 is a member of the C/D box family of snoRNAs containing the C (UGAUGA) and D (CUGA) box motifs. Multiple nearly identical copies of this snoRNA have been identified in Arabidopsis, and it is thought to function as a 2'-O-ribose methylation guide for 18S ribosomal RNA. Lineage: Eukaryota; Viridiplantae; Streptophyta; Magnoliopsida; Malvales; Malvaceae. The record is from Rfam.